This is a long non-coding RNA of Uloborus diversus, 457 nucleotides long. RefSeq lists it as uncharacterized. The record is from RefSeq and is a predicted model, not a curated record. The transcript is spliced from 3 exons. Lineage: Eukaryota; Metazoa; Arthropoda; Arachnida; Araneae; Uloboridae.
GAUUGCUGCGAUGUCGUUGCAAACGCGUGUGGUAGAGUUACAGGCCGCAACUUCAAAAACAAAACAUUUUAAGCGCUCUUAAAAACUAAAAUUGUUUUCGUAGAGUAAUUUUUUGACCUGUUUCGCAUCCGUUAGUUUAUGGGUUAAUGCUCGAUUGGAUGGUAUUUUUCCUUGGUGUGUUUGGAGGUAGGGGAGCUAGGGGCUUGAUGUAACAGGGAUGGAUUUUCAAGCGACUGUUAGCUCUAACCAAAAGCAGUCAAGAAAAGCUAAGAAGAAAAGACGACUUAAGAAACUUUAAAGAAUAAAAAGAUACUUACUUUUAAUUUCGGUUUAUUUAACACUAGAACGACUGACAUUUUCUGUAUAUCUAGAAAGACUGAAGGGGCCAGUGUGGCCCCUACCCAUUCUUGGAGUGAAUUCUUUUCAAAAUUCUUCCUGAGGAAGUUCACAUGCCUGA